Molecule: long non-coding RNA, 614 nt
Filed under: Vigna radiata
Lineage: Eukaryota; Viridiplantae; Streptophyta; Magnoliopsida; Fabales; Fabaceae
Description: long non-coding RNA (VRAD_LNC004036)
Source: RNAcentral
GAGCAUACACCAUCCAGCUUGAGGGGAGACUAUUGGAUUUUUAUUGUUUUGUAAGAUUACCGUCCUGUGACAGUAAUCGGGUUUGGUUUUUAGUUUUCUGUUAGUUUCCCCAAGAGUUCUAUAAAUAGAGCUCUUUCUCCCUUUUCUUAGUAAGUUACAAACAUAUAGACACUUUUCAGAUGAUAUUACAUAGAUAAAUAAAACAAGAGCAUUUUUUCUUUCUUACCUGCGCGAACCCUCUGUACCGACUGCGUUUCUUUUCUCUCUCAGACAGUUGUUCCUCCACCGCUCUGCAGACUACUGUUCCACUCAUUUUUCUAGUGCUUAGAAGUGUCUGGAAACCCUUGCUUCUUAAUUAUCGUGUCGAAGACAACAACUCUGCCACCCACCUUUUCCAGAGACACUUUAUCUCACUCGCGAGCCUCUAAAUCAAUUGGGCCUUUCGUAUGAAAUAUGGGUUGGCCCAUGUUUUAAUACUCUCCUCACUUCGUCUCUUCCUCAGUCCAAGUUCUGUUCGGGAGGUACCGACCAAAGGUUCUCCAAUGCUAAAGUCAAUAAUUGUUCGUUCGUAAUAUGAGAGUUGUAUUAAAUACGCAAUUAAUGAACCUCCCCAC